RNAcentral lists this unclassified non-coding RNA (24 nucleotides) under Dictyostelium discoideum. Lineage: Eukaryota; Evosea; Eumycetozoa; Dictyosteliales; Dictyosteliaceae. The record is from RNAcentral.
CAACAAUACAGAGAUAACUAUAAU